RNAcentral lists this ribosomal RNA (434 nucleotides) under uncultured Anaerosporobacter sp. Its description in RNAcentral is "partial 16S ribosomal RNA". It matches the Rfam family "Bacterial small subunit ribosomal RNA", at positions 341 to 792 of the family's 1533-position model. Lineage: Bacteria; Bacillati; Bacillota; Clostridia; Lachnospirales; Lachnospiraceae. The record is from RNAcentral.
ACGGAAGGCAGCAGUGGGGAAUAUUGGACAAUGGGGGAAACCCUGAUCCAGCGACGCCGCGUGAGUGAAGAAGUAUUUCGGUAUGUAAAGCUCUAUCAGCAGGGAAGAUAAUGACGGUACCUGACUAAGAAGCCCCGGCUAACUACGUGCCAGCAGCCGCGGUAAUACGUAGGGGGCAAGCGUUAUCCGGAUUUAUUGGGUUUAAAGGGUGCGCAGGCGGGCUAGUAAGUCUCCGGUGAAAUGUCAGGGCUCAACCUUGGCACUGCCGGAGAUACUGUUGGCCUUGAGAGUGGCGGAGGUAUCCGGAAUGUGUGGUGUAGCGGUGAAAUGCAUAGAUAUCACACAGGACACCGAUUGCGAAGGCAGGAUACCAUACCAUAUCUGACGCUCAGGCACGAAAGCGUGGGGAUCGAACAGGAUUAGAUACCCUGGUA